Molecule: non-coding RNA, 45 nt
Filed under: Trichobilharzia regenti
Lineage: Eukaryota; Metazoa; Platyhelminthes; Trematoda; Strigeidida; Schistosomatidae
Source: RNAcentral
AUCCAGAUGACGAGUCCCAAUUAGGACAAAAUGCACAUCCUGGAU